RNAcentral lists this ribosomal RNA (513 nucleotides) under uncultured bacterium. Its description in RNAcentral is "partial 16S ribosomal RNA". It matches the Rfam family "Bacterial small subunit ribosomal RNA", at positions 28 to 523 of the family's 1533-position model. The record is from RNAcentral.
GAUGAACGCUGGCGGCGUGCCUAAUACAUGCAAGUCGAGCGAAUGGAUUAAGAGCUUGCUCUUAUGAAGUUAGCGGCGGACGGGUGAGUAACACGUGGGUAACCUGCCCAUAAGACUGGGAUAACUCCGGGAAACCGGGGCUAAUACCGGAUAAUAUUUUGAACUGCAUGGUUCAAAAUUGAAAGGCGGCUUCGGCUGUCACUUAUGGAUGGACCCGGGUCGCAUUAGCUAGUUGGUGAGGUAACGGCCUACCAAGACGAUGAUGCGUAGCCGAACUGGGAGGGGGAGCGGCCACACUAGGAAUGAGACACGCCCAAGACUCCGACGGGAGGCAGCAGUAGGGAAUUUUCGGCAAUGGCGCAAGCCUGACCGAUAAAGGCCGCGUGAGGGAUUAAGGCCUUCGGGUUGUAAAGCUCUGUUGUAAGGGAAGAACAUUCAGGAUAGGAAAUGAUCUUGAACUGACGGUACCUUACCAGAAAGCCACGGCUAACUACGUGCCAGCAGCCGCGGUAA